AGAGGAGGGAGAAGGUGACCCCGGAAUGUCCUGAGGAGCCCCGGAGGGAUGGUGGGAGAUGGCAGAUGAAGGAAUGAUGGGAUCUCUCCGUGGAAGGAGGCUGGAAUGGGUGGAAAUCAUCGAGCCUCGGACCCGGGAGCGCAUGUACGCCAACCUCAUCACGGGGGAGUGCGUGUGGGACCCGCCCGCCGGGGUGCGGAUCAAACGCACCAAUGAGAACCAGUGGUGGGAGCUCUUCGACCCCAACACCUCCCGCUUCUACUACUACAAUGCCACCACGCAGAGGACGGUGUGGCACCGUCCCCAGAACUGCGACAUCAUCCCGCUGGCCAAGCUGCAGACGCUGAAGCAGAACACGGAGUCGCCGCGGGCUUCCACGGAAAACAGCCCCGGCAGGAGCAGCAAUGUCAGCAGGGAGGGGAGCACCAGCUCGUCCUUGGAGCAGGAGCUGGAGGGCAACGAGAAGGUGCAGGAGCAGCGCUCGAGCCGCCAGUCCAGCCAGUAUUCCGUGGUGAAGGAGGAAACGGAAAGCUCGUCGCCUUCCGGGGUGUUCGAGAAGGAAUACGACAUUUAUCGGGAUUACAGCGCGGAAGGACAACUCCUGCACUACAGGACCUCAUCCCUCCGAUGGAACGCCGGCACCAAGGAGCGGAUGCUGAUCAAGGUGACGGAUCGGGAGCCCAGCUUCCUCCUCCACCAAGGCAACGGCUACGCCCCGGAAAACCAACCCGGCUCCCGCUCCCGCCGGCCCUCGGGCGGCCAGCAGUCGCCCAACCUCCAAACCUUCUCCUCGGACGCCGACAACUCCGUCUUCUUCCCGGAGAGGAAGCAGUCGCCCUUCCUGAAGAGGGCCGAGCACGUGGGCAGCUGCUCGCCGCUGCUGGGCCGCGGCGAUUCCUUCUGCUCGCCGCUCCAAGCGCAGCACCGCAAACAUUCCAGCGAAUCGCAGCCCUCGUCGCCCCGCUACGCCUACGAGCCCCCGCUCUACGAGGAGCCCCCCAUGGAAUACCAGGCUCCCAUCUACGACGAGCCGCCCGUGGACAUGCAGUACGAAGCCAGCGGCAGCUACAAGGCCGGCUCGCCGCAGAAAUCGCCCAUCCGCAAGCCUCACCCUUUCCUCCAGUCGCCCAAGCAAGGCUCCAACUCGCCCUACCAGCAGUUGGUGCUCACCAAGCAGAAGUGUCCCGACCGCUUCAUGAGCCUGGAAUACAGCCCGGCCGGCAAGGAGUACGUCCGGCAGUUGGUCUACGUGGAGCAGUCGGGCUCCAGCCCCAAGAUGAAGACGGGCUUGAGGCACAAAUAUUCCCCCAACCCCAUUGGCGGCUCCUACUCGCUGCAGCACAGCCCCUGCCUGGUGCGGGAUCAGCGCCUGGAGAUCAAAUCGGGCGACUACAGCAGCAUGGAGGGACCCGACUUCUGCCCCGGCCCUGCGGGGGCCCAGGUGGCCCAGGGCGAGGACUCCAUGUCGUGGUCCAGCCAGCAGGACACCUUGUCCUCCACCGGUUACUCGCCCUCCACCAGGAAGAGGAAAAGCCGGAAGCCUUCGGUGAACCACGACGCCAACGCCUCCUCCACGGACGGCUCGGGGGAGCGGGAAGUGUUGGGAGAGCUGGGUGAGGAGCGUGCCGCGCCGGGGCCCAACAGGUCGCCGAUGAACCGGACGGAGAGCAAGGCGGCCGAGGCGGAGGCGGCGCGGGGCUUCCCGGAGCCGUUCCUGGCGCAGGCGCGCCUGGCGUGGGAAGCGCAGCAGGCUCACUACCACAUGAAGCAACGGAGCAGCUGGGAUUCCCAAAAGGACGGUUCGGGCUACGAGAGCGACGGGGCCCUCCCGCUGCCCAUGCCGGGCCCGGUGGUGCGAGCCUUCAGCGAGGACGAGGCGCUGGCGCAGCAGGAGAACAAGCACUGGAAGAGGAACACCUUUGAGAAGCUGGGCUUCCCCCAGAUCCUGCUGGAGAAGAGCGUCUCCGUCCAGACCAACCUGGCCUCCCCCGAGCCCUACCUGCAUCCAUCUCAGUCCGAGGACCUCGGCGCCUGCGCGCAGUUCGAGAGCAGCCGGCAGACGCGGAACAUGAUGCCGAGCGCCAGCUGCGUCUUCCCCACCUUCAACCUGCGCAAGCCCUCCUCGGAGACGGACAUUGAGAACUGGGCCUCCAAGCACUUCAACAAGCACACCCAAGGGCUCUUCCGCCGCAAGGUCUCCAUCGCCAACAUGCUGGCCUGGAGCAGCGAAUCCAUCAAGAAACCCAUGAUCAUGACCAACGACCGCAACGUCAAGAAGGAGGCGUGCGAGAUCUUCAAGCUCAUCCAGAUGUACAUGGGCGACCGGCGGGCCAAGACGGACCAGCUCAACGUGGCCUUGGAGAUCGCCACCAAAGGUUGGAGCAUGCAGGGGCUGCGAGACGAGCUCUACAUCCAGCUGUGCCGGCAGACCACCGAGAACUUCCGUUACGAGAGCCUGGCGCGCGGCUGGGAGCUCAUGGCCAUUUGUCUGGCCUUUUUCCCACCCACUCCCAAAUUCCAUUCCUACCUUGAAGGAUACAUUUACCGGCACAUGGAUCCGGUGAAUGACACCAAAGUCUCGCGGCACCUGCGGCACCUCCUGGCGAGGACCAAUCAGAAGAAACCCAAAUUGCGCAAGAAACCCAAGCCCCAGAGCGAGGAGAUCCCGGGGGUGGCCAUCAGCACUUACGCCAAGUACUGCUACAACAAACUGCAGAAGGCGGCGCUGACCGGGGCCAAGAAGGGCCUGAAGAAGCCGAACAUCGAGGAGAUCCGUCACGCCAAGAACGCCGUCUUCAACCCGUCCAUGUUCGGCAGCUCCCUGCAGGACAUCGUGGCCAUGCAGAAGGAGCGGUACCCGGACCGGCAGCUGCCCUGGGUGCAGACCCGGCUCUCCGAGGAGGUCCUGGCGCUCAACGGGGACCAGACCGAGGGCAUCUUCAGGGUCCCCGGUGACAUCGACGAGGUCAACGCCCUCAAGCUGCAGGUGGACCAAUGGAAGAUCCCCACCGGCUUGGAGGACCCGCACGUUCCCGCGUCGCUGCUGAAGCUGUGGUACCGCGAGCUGGAGGAGCCGCUGAUCCCGCACGACUUCUACGAGCAGUGCAUCUCCCACUACGAGAACCCCGAGGCCGCCGUCGCCGUCGUCCACUCCCUGCCCCGGAUCAACAAGAUGGUGCUGUGCUACCUCAUCCGCUUCCUCCAGGUCUUCGUGCAGCCGGCCAACGUGGCCGUCACCAAGAUGGACGUCAAUAACCUGGCCAUGGUGAUGGCCCCCAACUGCCUGCGCUGCCAAUCGGACGACCCGCGGAUCAUCUUCGAGAACACGCGCAAGGAGAUGUCCUUCAUCCGUGUCCUCAUCCAGCACCUGGACACCAGCUUCAUGGAGGGCGUCCUAUAGCGGCUGCCACCGCGCCGUCCCCACCCCGCCACCGGCCCCCUGUCCCCUCCGAGGGUCAAAGUCCCCAGGUGGUGGCACCUAUCUCCACCAAGAAACGGGAGAUCCGUGAGGUUCUCCACCACGUGGUGAGCACCAUGUCCACCAAGAACCGGGAGGUCUGUGAGGUUCUCCAAAUUCACCAUGUGGCGAGUUCCAUCAUCACCAAGAACAGGUCUGUGAGGUUCUCCACCACGUGGUGAGCUCCAUCUCCAAGAACCGGGAGGUCUGUGAGGUUCUCCAAAUUCAUCAUGUGGUGAGUUCCAUCUCCACCAAGAACCGGGAGGUCUGUGAGGUUCUCCAAAUUC
Molecule: RNA transcript, 3744 nt
Organism: Passer montanus (Eurasian tree sparrow)
Lineage: Eukaryota; Metazoa; Chordata; Aves; Passeriformes; Passeridae
Gene: ARHGAP39
Gene name: Rho GTPase activating protein 39
Exons: 12
Source: RefSeq, a predicted model, not a curated record